RNAcentral lists this ribosomal RNA (494 nucleotides) under uncultured bacterium. Its description in RNAcentral is "partial 16S ribosomal RNA". It matches the Rfam family "Bacterial small subunit ribosomal RNA", at positions 28 to 506 of the family's 1533-position model. The record is from RNAcentral.
GACGAACGCUGGCGGCGUGCCUAAUACAUGCAAGUAGAACGCUGAAGGAGGAGCUUGCUUCUCUGGAUGAGUUGCGAACGGGUGAGUAACGCGUAGGUAACCUGCCUGGUAGCGGGGGAUAACUAUUGGAAACGAUAGCUAAUACCGCAUAAUAGUAGAUGUUGCAUGACAUUUGCUUAAAAGGUGCAAUUGCAUCACUACCAGAUGGACCUGCGUUGUAUUAGCUAGUUGGUGGGGUAACGGCUCACCAAGGCGACGAUACAUAGCCGACCUGGGAGGGUGAUCGGCCACACUGGGACUGAGACACGGCCCAGACUCCUACGGGAGGCAGCAGUAGGGAAUCUUCGGCAAUGGACGGAAGUCUGACCGAGCAACGCCGCGUGAGUGAAGAAGGUUUUCGGAUCGUAAAGCUCUGUUGUAAGAGAAGAACGAGUGUGAGAGUGGAAAGUUCACACUGUGACGGUAUCUUACCAGAAAGGGACGGCUAACUACGU